UACAGAGGUCCCAAGCGUUGUUCGGAUUCACUGGGCGUAAAGGGUGCGUAGGUGGCCGGGUAAGUUCGAUGUGAAAGCUCUGAGCUCAACUCCGAAAUGGCAUUGAAUACUAUCCGGCUGGAGGGUUGGAGGGGGGACUGGAAUUCCCGGUGUAGCAGUGAAAUGCGUAGAUAUGUGGAGGAAGACCGAUGGCGAAGGC
This 199-nucleotide ribosomal RNA is filed under the name uncultured prokaryote. Its description in RNAcentral is "partial 16S ribosomal RNA". It matches the Rfam family "Bacterial small subunit ribosomal RNA", at positions 524 to 722 of the family's 1533-position model. The record is from RNAcentral.